UACGUAGGCGGAAAAUUAAGUCAGUAGUGAAAACCUGCAGCUUAACUGCAGACCUGCCAUUGAUACUGUUAGUCUUGAGUACGGUCAAGGUAGGCGGAAUGUGUAAUGUAGCGGUGAAAUGCUUAGAUAUUACACAGAACACCGAUUGCGAAGGCAGCUUACUGGGCCAUUACUGACGCUGAGGCACGAAAGCGUGGGGAGCGAACAGGAUUAGAUACCCUGGUAGUCC
Molecule: ribosomal RNA, 229 nt
Filed under: uncultured bacterium
Lineage: Bacteria
Description: partial 16S ribosomal RNA
Rfam family: Bacterial small subunit ribosomal RNA
Source: RNAcentral